This 68-nucleotide transfer RNA is filed under the name Telchinia perenna. RNAcentral's name for it is "Acraea perenna tRNA-Phe". Lineage: Eukaryota; Metazoa; Arthropoda; Insecta; Lepidoptera; Nymphalidae. The record is from RNAcentral.
AUUUAAAUAGCUUAAAUAUUUAGAGCAUAAUAUUGAAGAUAUUAGGGUGAUUGAUAAAUCUUUAGAUA